Molecule: ribosomal RNA, 483 nt
Filed under: uncultured bacterium
Lineage: Bacteria
Description: partial 16S ribosomal RNA
Rfam family: Bacterial small subunit ribosomal RNA
Source: RNAcentral
AUUGAACGCUGGCGGCAGGCCUAACACAUGCAAGUCGAGCGGUUGAAGGCAGCUUGCUCCUGGCUUCUGCCGCGCGCGGGAGUGUAAUGCCUAGGAAUCUGCCUGGGAGUGGGGGAUAACAUCGGGAGACGUGCGCUAAUCCCGCAUACGCUCUGGGGGAGAAAGUGGGGGCUCUUCGCACUUCUCGCUAUCACAUCAGUCUAGCUGGGUUUGGCUAGUGGUGGGGUAAAGGCCUACCAAGGCGACGAUCCGUAACUGGUCUGAGAGGAUGAUCAGUCACACUGGGACUGAGACACGGUCCAGACUCCUACGGGAGGCAGCAGUGGGGAAUAUUGGACAAUGGGCGAAAGCCUGAUCCAGCCAUGCCGCGUGUGUGAAGAAGGUCUUCGGAUUGUAAACCGCUUUUGGACGGGAGGAAGGGGAGUUAGCUAAUACCUUGCGGUGAUGACGUUACCAUCAGAAUAAGCACCGGCUAACUACGUG